This is a non-coding RNA of Marmota flaviventris (yellow-bellied marmot), 711 nucleotides long. The record is from RefSeq and is a predicted model, not a curated record. Lineage: Eukaryota; Metazoa; Chordata; Mammalia; Rodentia; Sciuridae.
CCCAGAACUGUAACUCUUGAUCCUGAGCCUGGGCAGGACAGCUUGUCUCAGCAUGAACUCUUAUGUGAAACUGCAGAGUAAAUCUGGACAGUGAGUUCCAGGGGACUGCACAGGCUGUUCUUCAUUGGUACCUGGAUCACUGAGCUGGCAGAUACCACAAACACUGCAGAAAUAUGACAGGGAAUUGGGAAGAUGUAAAGUAAGCCUCAGUUUCCCCCAAAAGGAAAGCUGAAAGCUGAUAAGAUGUGAUCCCUAGCAAAUUCCAGAGGCUCCACGGCACCAUCCUGCUGGAGAGAAUGAUUUCCUCUCUCUUUCCAUAUGGACUCUGCUUUCUUAAGAGUUCCAGUGGGAGUGAGAAUAUGGUACAUGACCGUUGGCAGGAGGAGCAAGUGGCAGUGGUCCUUCAUGUCCUAGAAAUCCAACAACAUUGAAUCCGUUCCCCGCAUUUCCCUGAUGGACACUCUUGGUCUACACACAGGAACCGUUCAUCGAUCCUGCUCUCUGGAGAUGGCGCUUCUUAGAUUCUUAACAACAACAUGGCUUAAAGAUAAAGAAAAUAGAACUUUGAAAAUAUAAAAUAAUGGUAACAUUGACAGACAUCUGGAGGAGGAGGAUGUAAGAUAAGUGUUAAAACACUGUUCCUUGGGGCUGGGGUUGUGGCUCAGCAGUAGAGCAUUUGCCUAGCACGUGUGAGGCCCUGGGUUCAGUCCU